UGCGUAGGCGGGUCUUUAAGUCGAGGGGUGAAAUCCUGGAGCUCAACUCCAGAACUGCCUUUGAUACUGAAGAUCUUGAGUUCGGGAGAGGUGAGUGGAACUGCGAGUGUAGAGGUGAAAUUCGUAGAUAUUCGCAAGAACACCAGUGGCGAAGGCGGCUCACUGGCCCGAUACUGACGCUGAGGACGAAAGCGUGGGGGAGCAAACA
Molecule: ribosomal RNA, 208 nt
Filed under: uncultured bacterium
Lineage: Bacteria
Description: partial 16S ribosomal RNA
Rfam family: Bacterial small subunit ribosomal RNA
Source: RNAcentral